This is a long non-coding RNA of Pogoniulus pusillus (Red-fronted tinkerbird), 297 nucleotides long. RefSeq lists it as uncharacterized. The record is from RefSeq and is a predicted model, not a curated record. The transcript is spliced from 3 exons. Lineage: Eukaryota; Metazoa; Chordata; Aves; Piciformes; Lybiidae.
AGGCUGGCUGGAGGAGACUCCCCUGGGAGCUGCAGUGUGAGGAGAAGCACUUCAGUGAUGUAGCUCUACCCAUUUGCAGACUCUUGUGGCUUCCAUCAUGUUCUGACACAGGAUGGGGCCCCUGGCAGGCAGAGGUGGCACAGAGUGUGCACAUCACAGAAGAGGUGGCAGAGACUCCACACCUGUCUUGCUGGAACCCCUCUGCUGUCAGGACAUGAUUGAGAGUCAGAGGAUCUUAAAUUCAUCCAGGCUGGGAAAGAGCUCCAAGACUGAGUCCAACCUUCUAUCCAAAGACAA